This 426-nucleotide ribosomal RNA is filed under the name uncultured bacterium. RNAcentral's name for it is "bacterial SSU rRNA". It matches the Rfam family "Bacterial small subunit ribosomal RNA", at positions 29 to 500 of the family's 1533-position model. The record is from RNAcentral.
AAUGAACGCUGGCGGCAUGCCUAACACAUGCAAGUCGAACGAGACCUUCGGGUCUAGUGGCGCACGGGUGCGUAACGCGUGGGAAUCUACCCUUGGGUUCGGAAUAACUCGCCGAAAGGCGUGCUAAUACCGGAUAAUGACGUAAGUCCAAAGAUUUAUCGCCCAAGGAUGAGCCCGCGUAGGAUUAGCUAGUUGGUGAGGUAAAAGCUCACCAAGGCGACGAUCCUUAGCUGGUCNGAGAGGAUGAUCAGCCACACUGGGACUGAGACACGGCCCAGACUCCUACGGGAGGCAGCAGUGGGGAAUAUUGGACAAUGGGCGAAAGCCUGAUCCAGCAAUGCCGCGUGAGUGAUGAAGGCCUUAGGGUUGUAAAGCUCUUUUACCCGGGAUGAUAAUGACAGUACCGGGAGAAUAAGCUCCGGCUAA